UCGCGUACUCGACGAGCGCCUUCAUGUCGGCCGGCUCGAAAUUGGCGCGGGCGACGAUGGUCAUCGGCACGUCGGUGACGAGGCCGACGUACUCGAAC
RNAcentral lists this transfer RNA (98 nucleotides) under Methylopila capsulata. RNAcentral describes it as "tRNA-Ser". Lineage: Bacteria; Pseudomonadati; Pseudomonadota; Alphaproteobacteria; Hyphomicrobiales; Methylopilaceae. The record is from RNAcentral.